Molecule: ribosomal RNA, 372 nt
Filed under: uncultured organism
Description: bacterial SSU rRNA
Rfam family: Bacterial small subunit ribosomal RNA
Source: RNAcentral
CAGAGGUGGCAAGCGUUGUUCGGAUUUAUUGGGCGUAAAGGGUCCGUAGGCGGUUUGGAAAGUCGGAUGUGAAAUCCCACAGCUCAACUGUGGAACUGCAUUCGAAACUUCCAGACUGGAGUGUGAGAGGGGUAAAGGGAAUUCCCGGUGUAAGGGUGAAAUCUGCAGAGAUCGGGAAGAACACCAGUCGCGAAGGCGCUUUACUGGCUCACAACUGACGCUGAGGGACGAAAGCUAGGGGAGCAAACGGGAUUAGAUACCCCGGUAGUCCUAGCCGUAAACGAUGAUCACUAGGUGUUGGGAGGGUUAAACCUUUCGGUGCCGCAGCUAACGCAUUAAGUGAUCCGCCUGGGGAGUACGGUCGCAAGGCUG